This 216-nucleotide ribosomal RNA is filed under the name Glomeromycotina sp. RNAcentral's name for it is "partial small subunit ribosomal RNA". The stretch from base 40 to 216 matches the Rfam family "Eukaryotic small subunit ribosomal RNA", at positions 686 to 864 of the family's 1831-position model. Lineage: Eukaryota; Fungi; Glomeromycota. The record is from RNAcentral.
GGGUCAGCAGGUUGGUCGUGCCACCGGUACGUACUGGUCUCACUGAUUCCUCCUUCCUGAAGAACCGUAAUGCCAUUAAUUUGGUGUUGCGGGGGAACAGGACUGUUACUUUGAAAAAAUUAGAGUGUUUAAAGCAAGCUAACGCUUGAAUACAUUAGCAUGGAAUAAUGAAAUAGGACGAUCGAUCCCAUUUUGUUGGUUUCUAGGAUUGACGUA